AAUGCGACCCAUUUUUUUCUCUCUCUCGCGGGCUUUGUUUCAGUGUUGCGGAACACUUCGAAAUCUCGAAACUCCCAUUCGUUGUCUUCACAACAAAAAUACCGUGAAUACGUGUACUUGUCGCAUGUAAACAAGCCCUGCCUGGAGAGCACUUUCAUGUCAUCUCCAGCUGGGUUACAGGCUCAGCAGUGCCAAACAAACUUCCUCUCCCGAUGGAUGCCAAGCAGCUCUUGUGCCGGGGUUAUCCUGAACCACUACCUAGACCUGGCUGAGUCUCUUCGACAUAGCUCUGUCUGGGGGUCCCGGGACGUGGUCGAUUCCUUCGCCUCUCAAUUCCUUUGCCUCAGUGUACAUUCCCUCGUCCAUGAUGCUGAGUCUGGGACAGAAUUGAACAAACAGAACCAGCGACCUGGGGAUAGGCCUGGAGAGAUGGACGGUAUGGAGAAGUUGGUAAAGCAGUCUCAGGACCUACCCCUGAUACUCAAACUUGAACAGCUGAGGCAGUGGCAGCAACACAUGCAGGAGCAACUGAAAGCCCACCAGCUGGAAGAGCUGGUCCAUCUCCAGGAGGAGCAACAGAGGCUACUCGGCAUGGUGCAUGUUGCUCAACAGGAUGGAGCAGAUACUGAAACACGCUCACACUGUGUUAUUGCCAUGUCAUUGUUGUUAUUCCGGUGGUAUUACUCAGCAAUCUGGAUGGAGCAGGAAGCACCAGUUUGAGUUUGACACCCCUGAUUUAGACAAGACUGAUUUCCCACAGAUUACAUAGAGACCUCCAGGUUGACGGGAGCAGACUGGAGAGAGGGAACUAAUUGGGGGACGCCCCCCUUUCUCAAAGUUCCUCAACAGCCCAGAGCUUCCCUAUAGGCCCCCCACAAGGGCCUGCGUCUUCCCAGCUUUGUAGACAGGGGCCUGCCUUCCAACAGCCUCCAAGGGGCCAGGAGCAGGAGGGAGAGGAUCAGGACCAAACACUGGACAGGGACAGAAGCAUGGAGCAGUCCACACAAACAUCAGCUGAGUGGGAAUGCUGAUCAUAUGGGUGAUAAUGAGGAGAUGGAAGAAGUCAUGUUAUCCCCCCAUUCUGCUCCCUCUAUGAUCGAAGAAUGCAAAGAUUAGAGGAGAUGACAGUGAACUAGACUCACAGGACAGACCCAUUAAACAAGGAAUAGAGGGGCAGAAGCAAACAUUUGAGGAGCUCCUGGAGGAAGAGCUGAGACUGGCGGAGCAGAGACUGAAGACCACCCAGCAGCAGCAGAGCCCAGAGGCAGUUGAGGGUGCCAUUCCCAAAAGGUUCUUCCUGAGGCAAGGGGAGGGCCUCUCUAGAUUCACCAAUAGAAGCAAAGCCAACAGACAGAGACCCCAAACCCCAGGGGACCUCAGAACCCAAGCCCGCCCAGAGGGUCAGUCAGUGGCCUCCCAUACAGUGCAAGACUGCUGUGCUCAACAAGGCGAAUAGACCCAGAGAUCCCUGCUCACCCCCCCUGGACAGUGGCAGUCCAGACAGCAAGGCAGCGCAGCCAGAGGCAGUGAGACCCGGAGUCCGGCGCAGUCACCACAGACAGAACAUGGCACCUGACCUUCUGAGACCUAGGAAUGUGAUUAGUAACAAGGUGGGUGGGACUUCUCAGCCUGUGAGUAGAACUCCUGCAGCUGCAAUUAAACAGUUUGGGCUUGAGGAGAGGACUGGGGCCCUGCAGAGAAAUGGAAGUGGUCCAUUGAGACUAGAUGGAGCAGCAGAGGGAAAACCAGGCGUUGUUUCAGACUAUUCCUUUGAGCUGUCAUUUCAGGAGAAGUUGCAGCGCUGGGACUGUGACCGUCACAAGGAGUGUGUGGAGCUAGGAGAGUUUGAGCUGCUGGAGCAGGCAGCCGAGGAGCUCUCUUUCUCCUCCAACUCAUCCUUCGUCAUGAAGGCUUGUGCUGCAGCUGGACCAGCAACACCCCCUCCAUGGCAGCUGGGGGCACCACCCGCUACGCCUGUCCUCCACUCCAAUCAAAUCCCCCAAACCCUUGCCAACUAAAGGUAUUCACAGCAGAGGCACCAGUAAAAGUGGCCUAGGAACAGGAACCAGCUCCUCUGAAUCAUCAGGAGUAUUUGCUGUGAGGGCAAAGGAGGUUGUGAUGAGGGAAAAAGGAAAAGCCACUGAGGAGGAAGAUGAAAUGAGGGACCGCAAACAUGAGGAAAUCUGUAUUUCGUUCCAUAGCAGCUCUGAAUUCGGGGAUCAGGAGGAAGUAGCCCGACCGCCGUACCAAACUAUAUUUCCCAGCAACCCCUGGGAAAACACGCUCCCCACAUCCAGCCCUCCAUGCGACAAGAGGUCAUAUCAGGACAGAGAGGGGGGCAGGGAGAGAGACCUUGACGACUCCACCCUAUUGGAAGACAGAGAAGAGGGGGACCGCAAGGGUCGGUUGGUGUUUGAUGACGAUGACACCUGGAAUGACCUGGAGGUGGCUGGCAGAAUCAUUGAGGACCCCAUCAGAACAAAAGGCGCUGCUAUAGGAAACAGCCACACUCCCACAAUAACAGGGAACGACGUCUCACCCCCAGAGAGGAAGCUGAAGAGAAAGGUGGCUGGGGCCGAGCUGGAGAGGGUGUCAAUUAUCACAGCAGCCAACCAGGAGCCAGAUCCUCCCAGCUUAUGGCCAGGCUGUUCCCCUCGCUGAAGCCCAAGACCCAGGCCCCUCCUCCACCAGAGCCUAGGAAGUCUGAGAACGGACCAGGCCAGCAGCAGCACUCCAGGCAGCUGAGGGAGAGAGAACGAUUCAGGACAGAGAACACUGCCCUGGCCAGACUCCGACUGGAGAACGAGAAUAACCAGGAAUAUCUCAGGAAGGAGAGGGCAGAGUUUGAGCAGCAGAAGGCUGAGGAGCUGGCCAGGUUUGAAGAGUUCGAGAGAGGAGACUAAGAAGCUGCAGAAGUAACGCAAGGUGUUUGAGAAGCACACCUCCGCCGCCAGGGCCAUACCAGAUAAGAGGGAGCACGACGAGAUCCAGGCCCUGAAGCAGCAGCUGAGUUCCCUACACAAGGAGCUGAAGUGGAGAGAGAGCCACGGGUCCACCACACACAGGCGUCUCCGACAGCAGAUCGACUCCCUGAGCUCAGACAACAGUGCCCUGAGAGACGAGGUCCGCACCCUGGAGAAACUAAGCCUCGGCACCUGGAGGAAGACUGGGACAGACAGCGAUAGAGAGGAAGACCGGCGGGAGAAUGAGAGAGAGAGGGAGGGACCCAGGCCAUUUGACAGCAACAUUGCUCUUGGAGCCAGGGGCCUCAAAUUGGCAAGUCCUGACACAGUGAGGAGUUGCCCACCACAGAGCAGUAGCUCCUCUAGAGGCAGUGCUGCUAUUGAAGACAGUAUCAGGGGCAUCCUAAAGAGGUCAGCCCCAACAGCAGCCGCAGCACCCGAUCCCACUGUUACAGCUCAGACGAACAACCAUCUUUGACCAGAAGUCACCACCCACCACAGAGCCACGACCACUCACACAACCCAUCCCCUAGGGCUCCAGGUCUGCGUCCACAGAGGUCAACAAGCAGCAAGAGCUAAGUCAGGAUGUCAUCAUUCACCCUGAUGGAAAGAUGGAGAGGGUGCUGGCCUGUGGAGAGAGACUCAUCAUCUUUCCCAAUGGGACCAGGAAGGAGGUGUUAGCGGAUGGACUGACAGCCAAUGUCACCUUCUUCAACAGGGACAUCAAGCAGGUUAUGGCUGACCAGAGUGUGGUGGGUUACUGACAGUGACCCUUCCCUGGCCUUAGUUAGUGCAUUAGCUCAACACCUUAAGUGGGAUAUUAAACUUACAUGAAUCCCAGAUCGGUGUGUGUGUGGUCCUCUUACAGAUCUACUACUAUGCUGAUGCCCAGACCCCUCACACCACCUAUCCUGACGGCAUCGAGGUUCUGCAGUUCCCCAACAACCAGACUGGUGAGAUUUGAUGGAAACAUCUCAUUAUUAUACUUAAUUACCUCCUUCUCCACCACUUUGUUCUGACCCGAAGCAUUUCCCCGAUGGCCGUAAGGAGAUCACGUACCCUGACCAGACAGUUAAGAACCUGUACCCAGAUGGGACGGAGGAGUGUACACUCACUGAUGGGACCAUCAUUCAAGUUAACCUGGAUGGCAGUAAGGAGAUCCGGUUCAACACAGGCCAGAAGGAGGUCCACACAGCAGACUAUAAAAGGAGGGAGUACCCAGAUGGCAGACAGGAGACCCGCUACACCACCGGACGCCAACGUUGUCAUGGACAACAGGCCCUAGGACUGAAUCAUUUGUGUUUCGAGAAGUUUAGUUUAAUGUCUAUUUAUUUUACCUGAUUAAUUUAUUUUGUAAAAUAAACGUUUAUCAAAUCCCUGUG
Oncorhynchus mykiss (rainbow trout) is the source of this 4345-nucleotide non-coding RNA. Lineage: Eukaryota; Metazoa; Chordata; Actinopteri; Salmoniformes; Salmonidae. The record is from RefSeq and is a predicted model, not a curated record.